Molecule: ribosomal RNA, 1047 nt
Filed under: Nocardiopsis dassonvillei
Lineage: Bacteria; Bacillati; Actinomycetota; Actinomycetes; Streptosporangiales; Nocardiopsidaceae
Description: bacterial SSU rRNA
Rfam family: Bacterial small subunit ribosomal RNA
Source: RNAcentral
CCACCAACGCAGGCUUCCAGUUCUCUGGAGGUUGACGGUAGGUGGGGAAUAAGGACCCGGCUAACUACGUGCCAGCAGCCGCGGUAAUACGUAGGGUCCGAGCGUUGUCCGGAAUUAUUGGGCGUAAAGAGCUCGUAGGCGGCGUGUCGCGUCUGCUGUGAAAGACCGGGGCUUAACUCCGGUUCUGCAGUGGAUACGGGCAUGCUAGAGGUAGGUAGGGGAGACUGGAAUUCCUGGUGUAGCGGUGAAAUGCGCAGAUAUCAGGAGGAACACCGGUGGCGAAGGCGGGUCUCUGGGCCUUACCUGACGCUGAGGAGCGAAAGCAUGGGGAGCGAACAGGAUUAGAUACCCUGGUAGUCCAUGCCGUAAACGUUGGGCGCUAGGUGUGGGGACUUUCCACGGUUUCCGCGCCGUAGCUAACGCAUUAAGCGCCCCGCCUGGGGAGUACGGCCGCAAGGCUAAAACUCAAAGGAAUUGACGGGGGCCCGCACAAGCGGCGGAGCAUGUUGCUUAAUUCGACGCAACGCGAAGAACCUUACCAAGGUUUGACAUCACCCGUGGACUCGCAGAGAUGUGAGGUCAUUUAGUUGGCGGGUGACAGGUGGUGCAUGGCUGUCGUCAGCUCGUGUCGUGAGAUGUUGGGUUAAGUCCCGCAACGAGCGCAACCCUUGUUCCAUGUUGCCAGCACGUAAUGGUGGGGACUCAUGGGAGACUGCCGGGGUCAACUCGGAGGAAGGUGGGGAUGACGUCAAGUCAUCAUGCCCCUUAUGUCUUGGGCUGCAAACAUGCUACAAUGGCCGGUACAAUGGGCGUGCGAUACCGUAAGGUGGAGCGAAUCCCUAAAAGCCGGUCUCAGUUCGGAUUGGGGUCUGCAACUCGACCCCAUGAAGGUGGAGUCGCUAGUAAUCGCGGAUCAGCAACGCCGCGGUGAAUACGUUCCCGGGCCUUGUACACACCGCCCGUCACGUCAUGAAAGUCGGCAACACCCGAAACUUGCGGCCUAACCCCUUGUGGGAGGGAGUGAGUGAAGGUGGGGCUGGCGAUUGG